Molecule: ribosomal RNA, 1518 nt
Filed under: uncultured Desulfuromonadales bacterium
Lineage: Bacteria; Pseudomonadati; Thermodesulfobacteriota; Desulfuromonadia; Desulfuromonadales
Description: bacterial SSU rRNA
Rfam family: Bacterial small subunit ribosomal RNA
Source: RNAcentral
UAGAGUUUGAUCCUGGCUCAGGACUAGCGCUGGCGGUGUGUCUUAGACAUGCAAGUCGGGCGGGAUACAUUGUUGUAGCAAUACAGUGGUGUGUUUAGCGGCGAACGGGUGAGCAAUACAAGGGCAACCAACCCUUAGGAGGGGCACAACCCACCGAAAGGUGGGCUAAUACCCCAUGUUCUGCGGCGGAGGCAUCUCUGCCGUAGCAAAGGCGCUGCAAGGUGCCACCUUUGGACGGACUCUUGUCCUAUCAGCUUGAUGGCGGGGUAACGGCCCACCAUGGCAACGACGGGUAGCCGGCGUGAGAGCAUGACCGGCCACAGGGGAACUGCGAUACGGUCCCCACUCCUACGGGAGGCAGCAGUCUAGAAAUUUGGGCAAUGGGCGAAAGCCUGACCCAGCGACACCGCGUGGAGGAUGAAGUCUUUCGGGAUGUAAACUCCUGACAGGCGGAGCGAUGCCUUGCGCUCUAACUAAGCGCAGGGUGACGGUACUGCCAAAGGAAGCCCCGGCUAACUACGUGCCAGCAGCCGCGGUAAUACGUAGGGGGCAAGCGCUGUCCGGAUUCACUGGGUGUAAAGGGCGCGUAGGCGGAUUUGUAAGUCAGUGGUGAAAGCCUGUAGCUUAACUACAGAACUGCCUCUGAUACUGCGAAUCUUGAGUUCGGAAGAGAGAAGCGGAAUUCCAGGUGUAGUAGUGAAAUACGUAGAUAUCUGGAAGAACACCAGUGGCGAAGGCGGCUUCUUGGUCCGUAACUGACGCUGAGGCGCGAAAGCGUGGGGAGCAAACAGGAUUAGAUACCCUGGUAGUCCACGCUGUAAACGAUGAAUACUAGGUGUUGGAUACAUUUGUAUCCAGUGCCGCAGCAAACGCAUUAAGUAUUCCACCUGGGGAGUACGAUCGCAAGGUUGAAACUCAAAGGAAUUGACGGGGGCCCGCACAAGCAGUGGAGCAUGUGGUUUAAUUCGAUGCAACGCGAAGAACCUUACCUAGGCUUGAAAGGCAAGCGACCGAGUGUGAAAGCACUCUUCCAGCAAUGGCGCUUGUACAGGUGCUGCAUGGCUGUCGUCAGCUCGUGCCGUGAGGUGUUGGGUUAAGUCCCGCAACGAGCGCAACCCUCGUACUUAGUUGCCACCAUUCAGUUGGGCACUCUAGGUAGACUGCCGGCGUUAAGCCGGAGGAAGGUGGGGACGACGUCAAGUCAUCAUGGCCCUUAUGUCCAGGGCCACACACGUGCUACAAUGGACGGUACAAAGGGUCGCGAACCCGCGAGGGGGAGCCAAUCCCAAAAAGCCGUUCUCAGUUCGGAUUGGAGUCUGCAACUCGACUCCAUGAAGUUGGAAUCGCUAGUAAUCGCGGAUCAGCACGCCGCGGUGAAUACGUUCCCGGGCCUUGUACACACCGCCCGUCACACCAUGGAAGCCAGCUGUACCGGAAGUCGGUGCGUUAACCCGCAAGGGAGAUAGCCGCCUAUGGUAUGACUGGUGACUGGGGUGAAGUCGUAACAAGGUAGCCGUA